CACCACUGUGGGACCUCUGCUUUUUGCUGACCAGUACUUGCAGUUGUCCACCACACUAGCCUCUUCCCUUGUGUCUGGCCUUGGGGAACAUUACACCUGCCUCCUCCUAGACCUUAACUGGACUUCUCUUACUCUCUGGAACAGAGACAUGGCACCUCAUGCUCAUGCUAACCUAUAUGGCUCCCACCCAUUCUACAUUGUACAGGAGGCUGAUGGAUUAGCACAUGGAUUUUUCCUUCUCAACAGCAAUGCAAUUGGUGACGCUUCAGCCGACUCCUGCUCUCACCUGGGUGUCAACUGGAAGAAUUCUGGAC
Solea senegalensis (Senegalese sole) is the source of this 314-nucleotide long non-coding RNA. RefSeq lists it as uncharacterized. The transcript is spliced from 3 exons. NCBI's taxonomy places the organism in Eukaryota, Metazoa, Chordata, Actinopteri, Pleuronectiformes, Soleidae. The record is from RefSeq and is a predicted model, not a curated record.